Molecule: ribosomal RNA, 253 nt
Filed under: uncultured bacterium
Lineage: Bacteria
Description: partial 16S ribosomal RNA
Rfam family: Bacterial small subunit ribosomal RNA
Source: RNAcentral
UACAGAGGGUGCGAGCGUUAAUCGGAAUUACUGGGCGUAAAGGGUGCGUAGGUGGUUUGAUAAGUUAGGUGUGAAAGUCCCGGGCUUAACCUGGGGAUUGCGCCUGAUACUGUCAGGCUAGAGUACUGUAGAGGGAAGUGGAAUUUCCGGUGUAGCGGUGGAAUGCGUAGAGAUCCGGAAGAACACCGGUGGCGAAGGCGGCCUGCUGGGACGUGGCUGACGCUGAGGCGCGACAGCGUGGGGAGCAAACAGG